UGAGGAAUAUUGGUCAAUGGACGCAAGUCUGAACCAGCCAAGUAGCGUGCAGGAUGACGGCCCUAUGGGUUGUAAACUGCUUUUAUAUGGGGAUAAAGUGGGGAACGUGUUCCCUUUUGCAGGUACCAUAUGAAUAAGGACCGGCUAAUUCCGUGCCAGCAGCCGCGGUAAUACGGAAGGUUCGGGCGUUAUCCGGAUUUAUUGGGUUUAAAGGGAGCGUAGGCUGUCUAUUAAGCGUGUUGUGAAAUAUACCGGCUCAACCGGUGGCUUGCAGCGCGAACUGGUCGACUUGAGUAUGCAGGAAGUAGGCGGAAUUCGUGGUGUAGCGGUGAAAUGCUUAGAUAUCAUGACGAACUCCGAUUGCGCAGGCAGCUUACUGUAGCAUAACUGACGCUGAUGCUCGAAAGUGCGGGUAUCAAACAGG
This 424-nucleotide ribosomal RNA is filed under the name Verrucomicrobiota bacterium. Its description in RNAcentral is "Verrucomicrobia bacterium partial 16S ribosomal RNA". It matches the Rfam family "Bacterial small subunit ribosomal RNA", at positions 355 to 776 of the family's 1533-position model. The record is from RNAcentral. Lineage: Bacteria; Pseudomonadati; Verrucomicrobiota.